RNAcentral lists this ribosomal RNA (386 nucleotides) under uncultured bacterium. RNAcentral describes it as "bacterial SSU rRNA". It matches the Rfam family "Bacterial small subunit ribosomal RNA", at positions 29 to 417 of the family's 1533-position model. The record is from RNAcentral.
AUUGAACGCUGGCGGCAUGCCUUACACAUGCAAGUCGAGCGGCAGCGCGGGGGCAACCCUGGCGGCGAGCGGCGAACGGGUGAGUAAUGCAUCGGAACGUGUCCUCUUGUGGGGGAUAACCAGUCGAAAGACUGGCUAAUACCGCAUGAGAUCGAGAGAUGAAAGCGGGGGACCGCAAGGCCUCGCGCGAGAGGAGCGGCCGAUGUCGGAUUAGCAGUUGGCGGGGUAAUGGCCCACCAAGGCGACGAUCCGUAGCUGGUCUGAGAGGACGACCAGCCACACUGGGACUGAGACACGGCCCAGACUCCUACGGGAGGCAGCAGUGGGGAAUUUUGGACAAUGGGCGCAAGCCUGAUCCAGCCAUGCCGCGUGUGUGAAGAAGGCCU